Molecule: ribosomal RNA, 244 nt
Filed under: uncultured bacterium
Lineage: Bacteria
Description: partial 16S ribosomal RNA
Rfam family: Bacterial small subunit ribosomal RNA
Source: RNAcentral
CGAGGUAGCAAUACCUAGCGGCAGACGGGUGAGUAACAUGUGGGAAUCUGCCUUUUGGUUCGGAACAACACGGGGAAACCUGUGCUAAUACCGGAUAAGUCCUAACGGAGAAAGUUUUAAUGCCAAAAGAUGAGCCCGCAUUUGAUUAGCUAGUUGGUGGGGUAAAGGCUCACCAAGGCGACGAUCUAUAGCUGGUCUGAGAGGAUGAUCAGCCACACUGGCACUGAGAUACGGCCCAGACUCC